RNAcentral lists this transfer-messenger RNA (342 nucleotides) under Rhodospirillaceae bacterium. It matches the Rfam family "Alphaproteobacteria transfer-messenger RNA". From Rfam's summary of the family: Bacterial tmRNA, also known as 10Sa RNA or SsrA, is named for its dual tRNA and mRNA-like properties. Its role is to liberate the mRNA from a stalled ribosome. Lineage: Bacteria; Pseudomonadati; Pseudomonadota; Alphaproteobacteria; Rhodospirillales; Rhodospirillaceae. The record is from RNAcentral.
ACUCUUCCAAUCCGCUGAACAAUGCCUUAUAUUCAAGAUGUCAUCCUUGGAUGACUAUGGUGAUAAAUGGCUUGCGGAAUAGCUGUUGCGGACCCGGGGGCAGUACCCGGCGCCUCCACCAGUUUCGUUCGGACCGAGUGGCCGUGCGCCGCUCGGGAUCCGGCUCAAGACGGGGGCGAACCAGGAUCGACGUGCAGUAAAAGGUAUGCUUUUCACCCGGUAUUGUACCACCGUUAUCGGGCUGAUACUACAAAUGCUAACGACAAUGAUCGUGUGGCACUCGCUGCUUAGUUUCUGAGCAAGCGCGGUUCGGGAGGCACCGGGCAACAGAAGCCUCCCACU